UUUACAAUAUACUUAGGGAUGAUGAAUGAAUUUGUUGUUUUUUUUUUUAACAGUGUUGAAUUGAGCUUUAUUUCUUUUUUUUAUUGCAUUUUAGGUUGUGGGGUACAUGUGGAGAACAUGCAAGAUAGUUGCAUAGGUACACACAUGGCAGUGUUUUGUACUGCCUUCCUCCCCUUUACACACAUUUGGCAUUUCUUCCCAGGCUAUCCCUCCCCAGCUCCCUGCCCCCCGCUGUCCCUCCCCUAUUCCCCCAAUAGACCCCAGUGUGUAGUACUCCCAUUCUUGUGUCCAUGUGUUCUCAUUUUUCAUCACCCGCCUAUGAGUGAGAAUAUGCGGUAUUUCAUUUUCUGUUCUUGUUUUUCAUCACCCACCUAUGAGUGAGAAUAUGCGGUGUUUCAUUUUCUGUUCUUGUGUCAGUUUGCUGAGGAUGAUGUUUUCCAGAUUCAUCCAUGUCCCUACAAACGACACGAACUCAUCAUUUCUGAUUGCUGCAUAAUAUCCCAUGGUGUAUAUGUGCCACAUUUUUCCAAUCCAGUCUAUUAUCAAUGGGCAUUUGGGUUGAUUCCAGGUCUUUGCUAUUGUAAACAGUGCUGCAAUGAACAUUCGUGUACAUGUGUCCUUAUAGUAGAACGAUUUAUAGUCUUUUGGAUAUAUACCCAGUAAUGGGAUUGCUGGGUCAAAUGGAAUUUCUAUUUCUAAGGCCUUGAGGAAUCGCCACACUGUCUUCCACAAUGGUUGAACUAAUUUACACUCCCACCAACAGUGUAAAAGUGUUCCUUUUUCUCCACAUCCUCUCCAGCAUCUGUUGUCUCCAGAUUUUUUAAUGAUCGCCAUUCUAACUGGCGUGAGAUGGUAUCUCAAUGUGGUUUUGAUUUGCAUCUCUCUGAUGACCAGUGAUGAUGAGCAUUUUUUCAUAUGAUUGUUGGCCUCAUAUAUGUCUUCUUUCGUAAAGUAUCUGUUCAUAUCCUUUGCCCACUUUUGAAUGGGCUUGUUUGUUUUUUUCCUGUAAAUCUGCUUGAGUUGUUUGUAAAUUCUGGAUAUCAGCCCUUUGUCAGAUGGGUAGACUGCGAAAAUUUUUUCCCAUUCUGUUGGUUGCCGAUCCACUCUAGUGACUGUUUCUUUUGCCGUGCAGAAGCUGUGGAGUUUCAUUAGGUCCCAUUUGUCUAUUUUGGCUUUUGUUGCCAAUGCUCUUGGUGUUUUGUUCAUGAAGUCCUUGCCUACUCCUAUGUCCUGGAUAGUUUUGCCUAGAUUUCCUUCUAGGGUUUUUAUGGUGCCAGGUCUUAUGUUUAAGUCUUUAAUCCAUCUGGAGUUAAUUUUAGUGUAAGGUGUCAGGAAGGGGUCCAGUUUCUGCUUUCUGCACAUGGCUAGCCAGUUUUCCCAACACCAUUUGUUAAACAUGGAAUCCUUGCCCCAUUGCUUGUUUUUGUCAGGUUUAUCAAAGAUUGUAUAGUUGUAUGUAUGUUGUGUUGCCUCCGGUGCCUCUGUUUUGUUCCAUUGGUCUAUAUCUCUGUUUUGGUACCAGUACCAUGCUGUUUUGAUUACUGUAGCCUUGUAGUAUAGUUUGAAAUCCGGUAGUGUGAUGCCCCCCGCUGUGUUCUUUUUGCUUAGAAUUGACUUGGCUAUGCGGGCUCUCUUUUGGUUCCAUAUGAAGUUCAUGGUGGUUUUUUCCAGUUCUGUGAAGAAAGUCAAUGGUAGCUUGAUGGGGAUAGCGUUGAUUCAGUAAAUUACUUUGGGCAGUAUAGCCAUUUUCACGAUAUUAAUUCUUCCUAACCAUGAACAUGGAAUGUUUCUCCAUCUGUUUGUGUCCUCUCUGAUUUCGUUGAGCAGUGGUUUGUAGUUCUCCUUGAAGAAGUCCCUUACGUUCCUUGUGAGUUGUAUUCCAAGGUAUUUUAUUCUUUUUGUAGCAAUUGCGAAUGGCAGUUCGCUCUUGAUUUGGCUUUCUUUAAGUCUGUUAUUGGUGUAGACGAAUGCUUGUGAUUUUUGCACAUUGAUUUUAUAUCCUGAGACUUUGCUGAAGUUGUUUAUCAGUUUCAGGAGUUUUUGGGCUGAGGUGAUGGGGUCUUCUAGGUAUACUAUCAUGUCGUCUGCAAAUAGAGACAAUUUGGCUUCCACCUUUCCUAUUUGAAUACCCUUUAUUUCUUUUUCUUGCCUGAUUGCUCUGGCUAGAACUUCCAGUACUAUAUUGAAUAGGAGUGGUGAGAGAGGGCAUCCUUGUCUAGUACCAGAUUUCAAAGGGAAUGCUUCCAGUUUUUGCCCAUUCAGUAUGAUAUUGGCUGUUGGUUUUUAUUACUUUGAGAUACAUUCCAUCGAUACCGAGUUUAUUGAGGGUUUUUAGCAUAAAGGGCUGUUGAAUUUUGUCAAAUGCCUUCUCUGCGUCAAUUGAGAUAAUCAUGUGGUUUUUGUUUUUGGUUCUGUUUAUGUGGUGAAUUACGUUGAUAGACUUGCGUAUGUUGAACCAGCCUUGCAUCCCUGGGAUGAAUCCUACUUGAUCAUGAUGAAUAAGUUUUUUGAUUUGCUGUUGCAAUCGGCUUGCCAAUAUUUUAUUGAAGAUUUUUGCAUCUAUGUUCAUCAUGGAUAUUGGCCUGAAGUUUUCUUUUCUCGUUGGGUCUCUGCCGGGUUUUGGUAUCAGGAUGAUGUUGGUCUCAUAAAAUGAUUUGGGAAGGAUUCCCUCUUUUUGGAUUGUUUGAAAUAGUUUUAGAAGGAAUGGUACCAGCUCCUCCUUGUGUGUCUGGUAGAAUUCGGCUGUGAACCCGUCUGGACCUGGGCUUUUUUUGUGAGGUAGGCUCUUAAUUGCUGCCUCAACUUCAGACCUUGUUAUUAGUCUAUUCAUAGUUUCAGCUUCCUCCUAGUUUAGGCU
Molecule: long non-coding RNA, 2857 nt
Organism: Callithrix jacchus (white-tufted-ear marmoset)
Lineage: Eukaryota; Metazoa; Chordata; Mammalia; Primates; Cebidae
Source: Ensembl